AUACGUAGGGGGCGAGCGUUGUCCGGAAUGAUUGGGCGUAAAGGGCGCGUAGGCGGCCCGGUAAGUCUGGAGUGAAAGUCCUGUUUUCAAGAUGGGAAUUGCUUUGGAUACUGAUGGGCUUGAGUGCAGGAGAGGUUAUCGGAAUUCCCGGUGUAGCGGUGAAAUGCGUAGAGAUUGGGAGGAACACCAGUGGCGAAGGCGACUUACUGGACUGUAACUGACGCUGAGGCGCGAAAGUGUGGUGAGCAAACAGGAUUAGAUACCCUGGUAGUCCACACUGUAAACGAUGAAUGCUAGGUGUAGGGGGUAUCGACCCCUUCUGUGCCGCAGUCAACACAAUAAGCAUUCCGCCUGGGGAGUACGGCCGCAAGGUUGAAACUCAAAGGAAUUGACGGGG
This 397-nucleotide ribosomal RNA is filed under the name uncultured bacterium. Its description in RNAcentral is "partial 16S ribosomal RNA". It matches the Rfam family "Bacterial small subunit ribosomal RNA", at positions 523 to 918 of the family's 1533-position model. The record is from RNAcentral.